UACGGGAGGCAGCAGUGGGGAAUAUUGCACAAUGGGCGCAAGCCUGAUGCAGUCAUGCCGCGUGUAUGAAAAAGGCCUUCGGGUUGUAAAGUACUUUCAGUCGUGAGGAAGGUGUUAAGGUUAAUAACCUUAGCAAUUGACGUUAGCGACAGAAGAAGCACCGGCUAACUCCGUGCCAGCAGCCGCGGUAAUACGGAGGGUGCGAGCGUUAAUCGGAAUUACUGGGCGUAAAGGGCACGCAGGCGGUUAAUUAAGUUGGAUGUGAAAUCCCCGGGCUUAACCUGGGAAUGGCAUUCAAGACUGGUUAGCUAGAGUCUUGUAGAGGGGGUAGAAUUCCAUGUGUAGCGGUGAAAUGCGUAGAGAUGUGGAGGAAUACCGGUGGCGAAGGCGGCCCUGGACAAAGACUGACGCUCAUGUGCGAAAGCGUGGGGAGCGAAACAGGGAUUAGAUACC
This 453-nucleotide ribosomal RNA is filed under the name uncultured bacterium. Its description in RNAcentral is "bacterial SSU rRNA". It matches the Rfam family "Bacterial small subunit ribosomal RNA", at positions 340 to 786 of the family's 1533-position model. The record is from RNAcentral.